ACACAUUACCCAAUCUCUCCAUGCCUCAGGCUGCGCAUCUGCUAAAUGGGUACAACGCCAGUGUGUACGUUGCUUGGGGGAUUAAUGGGCUGAGACAGAGGGUCUUGUGCCUGGCCCCCAACGAGCACUGAAUACAUUCUGACUGGUGUUAUUGACGCUGAUUUCCCUUUCAGAGGUUCGAGCCCCGACAGAGAGAAAGGGGAGGUCACACAAACACAAUGACGGUUAUGAGUUACUGUGCACCUACUAUGUGCCAGGCUCUGUGUUUUUA
This is a long non-coding RNA of Phyllostomus discolor (pale spear-nosed bat), 271 nucleotides long. RefSeq lists it as uncharacterized. Lineage: Eukaryota; Metazoa; Chordata; Mammalia; Chiroptera; Phyllostomidae. The record is from RefSeq and is a predicted model, not a curated record. The transcript is spliced from 3 exons.